This 398-nucleotide ribosomal RNA is filed under the name uncultured bacterium. RNAcentral's name for it is "bacterial SSU rRNA". It matches the Rfam family "Bacterial small subunit ribosomal RNA", at positions 358 to 773 of the family's 1533-position model. The record is from RNAcentral.
GGAAUCUUGCGCAAUGGGCGAAAGCCUGACGCAGCCAUGCCGCGUGAAUGAUGAAGGUCUUAGGAUUGUAAAAUUCUUUCACCGGGGACGAUAAUGACGGUACCCGGAGAAGAAGCCCCGGCUAACUUCGUGCCAGCAGCCGCGGUAAUACGAAGGGGGCUAGCGUUGCUCGGAAUUACUGGGCGUAAAGGGAGCGUAGGCGGACAUUUAAGUCAGGGGUGAAAUCCCGGGGCUCAACCUCGGAAUUGCCGUUGAUACUGGGUGUCUUGAGUAUGAGAGAGGUGUGUGGAACUCCGAGUGUAGAGGUGAAAUUCGUAGAUAUUCGGAAGAACACCAGUGGCGAAGGCGACACACUGGCUCAUUACUGACGCUGAGGCUCGAAAGCGUGGGGAGCAAAC